RNAcentral lists this transfer RNA (86 nucleotides) under Bacillota bacterium. RNAcentral describes it as "Firmicutes bacterium tRNA-Leu". It matches the Rfam family "tRNA". From Rfam's summary of the family: Transfer RNA (tRNA) molecules are approximately 80 nucleotides in length. Their secondary structure includes four short double-helical elements and three loops (D, anti-codon, and T loops). Lineage: Bacteria; Bacillati; Bacillota. The record is from RNAcentral. RNAcentral also lists the same sequence under 1 other name.
GCCGGGGUGUCGGAAUCGGCAGACGAGGCGGACUUAAAAUCCGCUGGGCGUAGCCCGUGUGGGUUCGAGGCCCACCCCCGGCACCG